UCUCCUAUCUCAUCUAACGAAGAAGCCCUGAAAGCCCUCACCAGGACGCAUCCCUGAAACAUCACACUUGCGGCUCCUGAUGCACUGAACUCGCUUCCCUGGAUAUACACGUCGUUCUGGCUCCUGCACUCCUUCUUGAGUCUAUCCAGAGGGAUGCCUGCUUAGACCAUGAUCAUCCUGGCUCCUGUCCGACAAGAAGAAUAUGCUUUAAUGGAGGUCCAAGUUCAAUGCUUUCACCAAUGAACCUACGAUGUUUGGCACCCAGUAAUGAUGACGCUGAUCCUACUGGAGAAACGUUUGGUCCCAUCCAGGGUAGGUGUUGGUAGAGGUGAGGAGAUCCUAGCAAAGCU
Molecule: long non-coding RNA, 350 nt
Filed under: Cricetulus griseus (Chinese hamster)
Lineage: Eukaryota; Metazoa; Chordata; Mammalia; Rodentia; Cricetidae
Description: lncRNA (ENSCGRG00015030673.1)
Source: RNAcentral